RNAcentral lists this ribosomal RNA (590 nucleotides) under uncultured bacterium. RNAcentral's name for it is "bacterial SSU rRNA". It matches the Rfam family "Bacterial small subunit ribosomal RNA", at positions 104 to 712 of the family's 1533-position model. The record is from RNAcentral.
GGGUGAGUAAUGAAUCGCUAACGUACCCCGGACUCCGGGAUAGCCGGCCGAAAGGCCGGGUAAUACCGGGUGACAUCACCGCGCGGCAUCGCGUGGUGCUCAAAGGUCCGCCGGUCUGGGAGCGGGCGAUUUCGUAUCAGCUAGUUGGUGGGGUAACGGCCCACCAAGGCGACGACGCGUAGCUGGUCUGAGAGGACGGUCAGCCACAUUGGGACUGAGACACUGCCCAGACUCCUACGGGGGGCUGCAGUAACGAAUCUUCCGCAAUGCACGAAAGUGUGACGGAGCGACGCCGCGUGUGGGACGAAGUCCUUCGGGAUGCAAACCACUGUCAGGGGCAGCCAAGUUCUGAGGCGCCCCAGAGGAAGGCACGGCUAACUCUGUGCCAGCAGCCGCGGUAAGACAGAGGUGCCGAGCGUUAGGCGGAAUCACUGGGCUUAAAGCGUGUGUAGGCGGACCGUUAAGUACCCGCGUGAAAUCCUGCGGCUCACCCGCAGAACUGCCGGGUAUACUGGCGGUCUUGGGCGACCUAGGGGCGAGCGGACARGUGGUGGAGCGGUGAAAUGCGUARAUAUCACUUGGAACGCCGA